AGAUGUGAGGGCGAUCUGGCGGCAACAUCUGUCACCCCAUUGAUCGCCAGGGUUGCUUCGGCUGAUCUGGCUGCCCAGGCCAGUGUCCCCUUCCUCCCUCACCGUUCCAUGUGUGUCCCUCCUGAAGCUGCGCACUGGGUCAAAGAGGAGGACGGCUUCCUCGGUCAAGGGUGUACAAGUAGCUGUGCUCCCCUUCGAGAACCUCCAAACAAGCUCUCAAGGUUCUCGAUGUCAAGCCAUGGGAAGAGAGACGGGCGGGUGGGCUGGCAAAGCUGG
Non-coding RNA from Heterocephalus glaber (naked mole-rat), 276 nucleotides. The record is from Rfam. Lineage: Eukaryota; Metazoa; Chordata; Mammalia; Rodentia; Bathyergidae.